This 652-nucleotide small RNA is filed under the name Pan troglodytes (chimpanzee). RNAcentral describes it as "processed transcript". Lineage: Eukaryota; Metazoa; Chordata; Mammalia; Primates; Hominidae. The record is from RNAcentral.
GAGCUGUAUAUUUCUUCUGGUUUCAGAUUUUAAAGAUUUACACAUAAAUUUUAAAUGAUUUUUUUAAAGUCUUUUCUAGUAUAACAUGUUUGCUUUCUUUCUUUCUGUCUUUUUAGUUUCAUAGCUUCUUUUUAAAUAAUUGCUCAUUCCCAUCAGGGCUCUUUCUGCUUUUCUUUUGCAGAAUAUGUGAGAUCCAGGCUGUUGACUGUACUACAAUAUCCUCAUUUACAGUGAGGGAAUGUGAGGGAUCCAGUAGGAUGGGCUCAAGACCAAGGCGCUACUUGUUCACAGGCCAUACAAAUGGCAGUAUUCAAAUGUGGGAUCUGACCACUGCUAUGGAUAUGGUUAACAAAAGUGAAGAUAAGGAUGUAGGUGGUCCAACCGAAGAAGAGCUACUCAAAUUACUGGAUCAAUGUGAUUUGAGCACAUCUCGCUGUGCUACUCCUAACAUCAGUCCAGCAACUUCCGUAGUUCAGCAUAGCCACUUACGAGAAUCAAAUUCUAGCCUUCAGCUUCAGCACCAUGAUACCACCCAUGAAGCAGCUACUUACGGUUCCAUGAGGCCUUACAGAGAAAGUCCUUUAUUAGCAAGGGCAAGAAGGACUGAGAGCUUUCACAGUUAUAGGGACUUCCAGACCAUUAAUUUGAACAG